ACUACGAGCAUCAGCUUAAAACCCAAAGGACUUGGCGGUGCUUUAGAUCCCCCUAGAGGAGCCUGUCCUAGAACCGAUAAUCCCCGUUAAACCUCACCCCCCCUUGUUCUCCUAGCCUAUAUACCGCCGUCGUCAGCUUACCCUGUGAAGGACUUAUAGUAAGCAUAAUUGGCAUAACCCAGAACGUCAGGUCGAGGUGUAGCUUAUGGGAGGGAAAGAGAUGGGCUACAUUCCAUGACACACGGAAUACGAACGAUGUCCUGAAACACACAUCUGAAGGAGGAUUUAGUAGU
RNAcentral lists this ribosomal RNA (293 nucleotides) under Maccullochella macquariensis. RNAcentral describes it as "partial 12S ribosomal RNA". It matches the Rfam family "Bacterial small subunit ribosomal RNA", at positions 879 to 1339 of the family's 1533-position model. The record is from RNAcentral. Lineage: Eukaryota; Metazoa; Chordata; Actinopteri; Centrarchiformes; Percichthyidae.